AAAAGAGUGUGGUAACAAGUCUCUCCAGUCGUAGCUCCUGGAUCCUCUACAUCAGUCCUAGUAGGAGUGGUUGUGGGUCUGGUUGUUGCUGGUGUUCUACUGGUCAUUCUCCUGGUCCUGCUGUGGAGAUAUCAAAACAGCAAAGGCCCCCUCAGCCCCAGAGCACCAACCAGGACCCCCAACAGGACCAAGGAUCUACCCAGGGCCAGGCUCCUGAUACUGGGUAU
This is a long non-coding RNA of Coregonus clupeaformis (lake whitefish), 227 nucleotides long. RefSeq lists it as uncharacterized. The transcript is spliced from 3 exons. The record is from RefSeq and is a predicted model, not a curated record. NCBI's taxonomy places the organism in Eukaryota, Metazoa, Chordata, Actinopteri, Salmoniformes, Salmonidae.